RNAcentral lists this ribosomal RNA (253 nucleotides) under uncultured bacterium. Its description in RNAcentral is "partial 16S ribosomal RNA". It matches the Rfam family "Bacterial small subunit ribosomal RNA", at positions 524 to 776 of the family's 1533-position model. The record is from RNAcentral.
UACGAGGGGUGCAAGCGUUACUCGGAAUUACUGGGCGUAAAGCGUGCGUAGGUGGUUCGUUAAGUCUGUCGUGAAAGCCCCGGGCUCAACCUGGGAAUGGCGAUGGAUACUGGCGGCCUAGAGUGCGGUAGAGGAGAGUGGAAUUCCCGGUGUAGCAGUGAAAUGCGUAGAGAUCGGGAGGAACAUCAGUUGCGAAGGCGGCUCUCUGGACCAGCACUGACACUGAGGCACGAAAGCGUGGGGAGCAAACAGG